Molecule: ribosomal RNA, 301 nt
Filed under: uncultured bacterium
Lineage: Bacteria
Description: partial 16S ribosomal RNA
Rfam family: Bacterial small subunit ribosomal RNA
Source: RNAcentral
CAGCCGCCGCGGUAAUACGGAGGGUGCAAGCGUUAAUCGGAAUUACUGGGCGUAAAGCGCACGCAGGCGGUUUGUUAAGUCAGAUGUGAAAUCCCCGAGCUUAACUUGGGAACUGCAUUUGAAACUGGCAAGCUAGAGUCUUGUAGAGGGGGGUAGAAUUCCAGGUGUAGCGGUGAAAUGCGUAGAGAUCUGGAGGAAUACCGGUGGCGAAGGCGGCCCUCUGGACAAAGACUGACGCUCAGGUGCGAAAGCGUGGGGAGCAAACAGGAUUAGAUACCCCGGUAGUCCCUGUCUCUUAUAC